GGUAGAGUGGAGGGGACGAGGGACAAGCAGGAGGUUGGAACCAGCCGAGCAGAAGUGGUGAGGCAGUGGAGUGGGGAAUAAGCAAAUCAGAGAGGUAAAAAGGUGCCAAGGAACAAAGGAAUUUGUAGACAAGAGUGAGGUUCUUGAAAUUAAUCUGUUCUGUGAUAGGGAACUAGUGAAGCCUGGCCAGGACCGGUUUGAUGGGGUAUGGAGUUUGGUACUGGCGGCAAAAUCUAGUACAGACACGUUAAUUUCACACCAUCCUUUGGCAGACGUUAAUGAGAACUCACAGGGUGUAAGCCAAAAGCAGGAAGUGUUACACUGGAAGAGAGCAGUGACGGGGCCAAAUGUCCUGAAUUCCAGCCGAGAGGAUAUGUGGAUGAGUGAACUUAUCCACAGCCUUCACCAGUUUGAGUU
Callorhinchus milii (elephant shark) is the source of this 417-nucleotide long non-coding RNA. RefSeq lists it as uncharacterized. The record is from RefSeq and is a predicted model, not a curated record. The transcript is spliced from 3 exons. NCBI's taxonomy places the organism in Eukaryota, Metazoa, Chordata, Chondrichthyes, Chimaeriformes, Callorhinchidae.